GGGCUAGGCCUGCACUGCUCAGAAACUUCCGUUGCGGUUGGCGUACGAGAACGUAGCGACGGCGGCAAGAUGAGCAUGCAGCUGGUGGCCUUGGCUGUGUUGCUGAUGCUGGCAUUGUGUUUCACGGUGCUGCAGGCGCAUCCGGUGGCAGAGCCGCACUGGGGAUGGAGCGGUUGGAACCACUACCAUUGGCACCACCCGCACCCUCAUUGGUGGCAUUGGUGGUGACUGUGACUACCGAUAAGUGGCAUCACGACUCCUACUACUGAGACAACGUUAUGAUGGCUUCUUGGUUAUUUCUGCAUAAUAUACUUUGAGUCUAACAAUAAUAACGACUAUGGGCGCAUUUUCUUUGACUUUAAAUAGCAAACAGCAAGAAAA
This is a long non-coding RNA of Schistocerca gregaria, 381 nucleotides long. RefSeq lists it as uncharacterized. NCBI's taxonomy places the organism in Eukaryota, Metazoa, Arthropoda, Insecta, Orthoptera, Acrididae. The transcript has 2 exons. The record is from RefSeq and is a predicted model, not a curated record.